Saccostrea echinata is the source of this 305-nucleotide long non-coding RNA. RefSeq lists it as uncharacterized. The record is from RefSeq and is a predicted model, not a curated record. Lineage: Eukaryota; Metazoa; Mollusca; Bivalvia; Ostreida; Ostreidae. The transcript is spliced from 3 exons.
UAUUUCUUCAAACGCAGUCAAGAUUUGAAGUCAUGAUUGCAUUGCGCCAGGAUGUAUGACUUCCAAGCACAGUCAUGAUUCGCUUUAGUAUGAUAAUAUGUAAGCGCUUCCCUAACACUGAAAAACCGCUAAAAUGUGUAUUGGGUUUCCAGCCUUCCCGUUCAUCUCAGCUGGCAAGUAAGUACCAAGUAACAGCUAGUGAUUUGUGUGUACUGAACCAUCAACAUAUUAAACUGUCCAAGACUGGUGAUAGAUAUGUAGUAUUUUAGAUUGACGCAUGCUGACUGGGGAUUAUGAGUAUGGAU